This 584-nucleotide ribosomal RNA is filed under the name Pseudomonas sp. StFRB190. RNAcentral describes it as "bacterial SSU rRNA". It matches the Rfam family "Bacterial small subunit ribosomal RNA", at positions 102 to 681 of the family's 1533-position model. The record is from RNAcentral. Lineage: Bacteria; Pseudomonadati; Pseudomonadota; Gammaproteobacteria; Pseudomonadales; Pseudomonadaceae.
ACGGGUGAGUAAUGCCUAGGAAUCUGCCUGGUAGUGGGGGAUAACGUUCGGAAACGGACGCUAAUACCGCAUACGUCCUACGGGAGAAAGCAGGGGACCUUCGGGCCUUGCGCUAUCAGAUGAGCCUAGGUCGGAUUAGCUAGUUGGUGAGGUAAUGGCUCACCAAGGCGACGAUCCGUAACUGGUCUGAGAGGAUGAUCAGUCACACUGGAACUGAGACACGGUCCAGACUCCUACGGGAGGCAGCAGUGGGGAAUAUUGGACAAUGGGCGAAAGCCUGAUCCAGCCAUGCCGCGUGUGUGAAGAAGGUCUUCGGAUUGUAAAGCACUUUAAGUUGGGAGGAAGGGCAGUUGCCUAAUACGUAACUGUUUUGACGUUACCGACAGAAUAAGCACCGGCUAACUCUGUGCCAGCAGCCGCGGUAAUACAGAGGGUGCAAGCGUUAAUCGGAAUUACUGGGCGUAAAGCGCGCGUAGGUGGUUUGUUAAGUUGGAUGUGAAAUCCCCGGGCUCAACCUGGGAACUGCAUUCAAAACUGACUGACUAGAGUAUGGUAGAGGGUGGUGGGAAUUUCCUGUGUAGCGG